Molecule: non-coding RNA, 72 nt
Organism: Pangasianodon gigas (Mekong giant catfish)
Lineage: Eukaryota; Metazoa; Chordata; Actinopteri; Siluriformes; Pangasiidae
Source: the annotation of a GenBank genome assembly
UGAUGAUAAUUAUAAUGAUGAUGAUGAUGAUGACGAUAAUUAUAAUGAUGAUGAUGAUGCUACUGCUGCUGA